GACGAACGCUGGCGGCGCGCCUAACACAUGCAAGUCGAACGAGAGAUGAGGAGCUUGCUCUUCAAAUCGAGUGGCGAACGGGUGAGUAACGCGUGAGGAACCUGCCUCAAAGAGGGGGACAACAGUUGGAAACGACUGCUAAUACCGCAUAAGCCCACGGCUCGGCAUCGAGCAGAGGGAAAAGGAGCAAUCCGCUUUGAGAUGGCCUCGCGUCCGAUUAGCUAGUUGGUGAGGUAACGGCCCACCAAGGCGACGAUCGGUAGCCGGACUGAGAGGUUGAGCGGCCACAUUGGGACUGAGACACGGCCCAGACUCCUACGGGAGGCAGCAGUGGGGAAUAUUGCACAAUGGGGGAAACCCUGAUGCAGCGACGCCGCGUGGAGGAAGAAGGUCUUCGGAUUGUAAACUCCUGUUGUUGAGGAAGAUAAUGACGGUACUCAACAAGGAAGUGACGGCUAACUACGUGCCAGCAGCCGCGGUAAAACGUAGGUCACAAGCGUUGUCCGGAAUUACUGGGUGUAAAGGGAGCGCAGGCGGGAGAACAAGUUGGAAGUGAAAUCCAUGGGCUCAACCCAUGAACUGCUUUCAAAACUGUUUUUCUUGAGUAGUGCAGAGGUAGGCGGAAUUCCCGGUGUAGCGGUGGAAUGCGUAGAUAUCGGGAGGAACACCAGUGGCGAAGGCGGCCUACUGGGCACCAACUGACGCUGAGGCUCGAAAGUGUGGGUAGCAAACAGGAUUAGAUACCCUGGUAGUCCACACCGUAAACGAUGAUUACUAGGUGUUGGAGGAUUGACCCCUUCAGUGCCGCAGUUAACACAAUAAGUAAUCCACCUGGGGAGUACGACCGCAAGGUUGAAACUCAAAGGAAUUGACGGGGGCCCGCACAAGCAGUGGAGUAUGUGGUUUAAUUCGACGCAACGCGAAGAACCUUACCAAGUCUUGACAUCCCUUGACGAUGCUGGAAACAGUAUUUCUCUUCGGAGCAAGGAGACAGGUGGUGCAUGGUUGUCGUCAGCUCGUGUCGUGAGAUGUUGGGUUAAGUCCCGCAACGAGCGCAACCCUUAUGGUCAGUUACUACGCAAGAGGACUCUGGCCAGACUGCCGUUGACAAAACGGAGGAAGGUGGGGAUGACGUCAAAUCAUCAUGCCCUUUAUGACUUGGGCUACACACGUACUACAAUGGCGUUAAACAAAGAGAAGCAAGACCGCGAGGUGGAGCAAAACUCAGAAACAACGUCCCAGUUCGGACUGCAGGCUGCAACUCGCCUGCACGAAGUCGGAAUUGCUAGUAAUCGUGGAUCAGCAUGCCACGGUGAAAUACGUUCCCGGGCCUU
This 1334-nucleotide ribosomal RNA is filed under the name uncultured bacterium. Its description in RNAcentral is "bacterial SSU rRNA". It matches the Rfam family "Bacterial small subunit ribosomal RNA", at positions 28 to 1382 of the family's 1533-position model. The record is from RNAcentral.